UACGUAGGGUGCAAGCGUUACUCGGAAUUACUGGGCGUAAAGCGUGCGCAGGCGGUUCGCUGUGUCCUGUGUGAAAGCCCCGGGCUUAACCUGGGAAUGGCAUGGGAAACUGGCGGGCUGGAGUGUGGCAGAGGGGGGUGGAAUUCCGCGUGUAGCAGUGAAAUGCGUAGAGAUGCGGAGGAACACCGAUGGCGAAGGCAGCCCCCUGGGCUAACACUGACGCUCAGGCACGAAAGCGUGGGGAGCAAACAGG
Molecule: ribosomal RNA, 253 nt
Filed under: uncultured bacterium
Lineage: Bacteria
Description: partial 16S ribosomal RNA
Rfam family: Bacterial small subunit ribosomal RNA
Source: RNAcentral